Molecule: ribosomal RNA, 371 nt
Filed under: uncultured organism
Description: partial 16S ribosomal RNA
Rfam family: Bacterial small subunit ribosomal RNA
Source: RNAcentral
GUAGGUGGCGAGCGUUGUCCGGAAUUAUUGGGCGUAAAGCGCGCGCAGGCGGUUCUUUAAGUCUGAUGUGAAAGCCCACGGCUCAACCGUGGAGGGUCAUUGGAAACUGGAGAACUUGAGUACAGAAGAGGAAAGCGGAAUUCCACGUGUAGCGGUGAAAUGCGUAGAGAUGUGGAGGAACACCAGUGGCGAAGGCGGCUUUCUGGUCUGUAACUGACGCUGAGGCGCGAAAGCGUGGGGAGCAAACAGGAUUAGAUACCCUGGUAGUCCACGCCGUAAACGAUGAGUGCUAAGUGUUAGGGGGUUUCCGCCCCCCUUAGUGCUGCAGCUAACGCAUUAAGCACUCCGCCUGGGAUACGGCCGCAAGGCUG